Molecule: ribosomal RNA, 432 nt
Filed under: uncultured bacterium
Lineage: Bacteria
Description: partial 16S ribosomal RNA
Rfam family: Bacterial small subunit ribosomal RNA
Source: RNAcentral
AACGAACGCUGGCGGCAUGCCUAACACAUGCAAGUCGAACGAGACCUUCGGGUCUAGUGGCGCACGGGUGCGUAACGCGUGGGAACCUGCCCUUAGGUUCGGAAUAACUCCCCGAAAGGGGUGCUAAUACCGGAUAAUGUCUUCGGACCAAAGAUUUAUCGCCUUUGGGUGGGCCCGCGUUGGAUUAGCUAGUUGGUAGGGUAAAAGCCUACCAAGGCGACGAUCCAUAGCUGGUCUGAGAGGAUGAUCAGCCACACUGGGACUGAGACACGGCCCAGACUCCUACGGGAGGCAGCAGUGGGGAAUAUUGGACAAUGGGCGAAAGCCUGAUCCAGCAAUGCCGCGUGAGUGAUGAAGGCCUUAGGGUUGUAAAGCUCUUUUACCCGGGAUGAUAAUGACAGUACCGGGAGAAUAAGCGCCGGCUAACUCCGU